UCUCCGUAGGUGAACCUGCGGAAGGAUCAUUAUUGUAUAACCGAGGUGCGAGGGCUGUCGCUGACCCGAAAGGUCGUGCACGCCCGAGUGCCCUCACACACAUCCAUCUCACCCCCAUUUGCACCACCGCGUGGGUCCCCCUUUGGCUUGUUCGGAGGGGGGCUUACGUUUUCACACAAACUUUGUAUGCAGUGUAGAAUGUAUUUUUUGUUUUUGCGAUCACGCAAUCAAUACAACUUUCAACAACGGAUCUCUUGGCUCUC
This 263-nucleotide unclassified non-coding RNA is filed under the name plant metagenome. RNAcentral's name for it is "partial contains small subunit ribosomal RNA, internal transcribed spacer 1, and 5.8S ribosomal RNA". The record is from RNAcentral.